CUUCUAGGCUCUUAUAGGCUCCAUGCAAGUCAUUACUCAUCACACAAAGCUCCCUCCAUUUCUUUACAAGAGAUGCAGCCUUCUCCCUGGGUAGGUCUUGAAUACACAUGCAGAAUGCCAGGGAGGUUGUUAGGGGUGGGACUGAGUCAAACUCCCAUAUGUGGAAUAGUAGUGGGUCUGUUUCCUGGAUGCACCCCACCCUUACCCACAGUAGAGAAGUAUCAUCUAUAUAGUCUGGGGAGCAGACUUGAAAAUAGUCUUCGGAUACCUGAAAGGCAAGUGAAAAUUAGGUCACAAUCCCAACCCACCCAAGGAGAUGCACAUCUCUUCUAGUUUCUCAACGGGCUGCCUACUGCACCACCACAAAUCAAUCCUAGUCCACCCUGCACAGGUUGAGUGUGCUAUAGAGAGUUUCAGCAGCGGACCUACAGGCUGGAAGGUCCUAAAUAGGGUGUGUGGCUACCAAAAUGGAUUUCUCCAGAUGAUAUACAGUGUGGUACCUUUGAAGCAGAUGAGUAGAAAAUGCUUGCUCCCUUUUCUCUUUUCUUUGUUUAUACUUUAUUAUACGUCUUAUUCACAUGCCAGAGCCACUUUGUCUCUUUUAGAUCAGCAGCUACCAGUACCGUUGGCUAUUUUAAGAUGUGAACAAUCCUGCACUGGCUGAAUUUCAGUCUUCAAUUUGUUGUAGGCUGCUGGAUUUUUAACCCUGCAGAACUAACUCAAGAUAUUCUCUGAUACUAUAUUAUUCUGAUUUUUGUGUUAACUUUCUGAAUGAGAGGGCACAGGCCUAGCCAUUAGAUACUAAAUUCAUUUCAGUGGAAAUUAAGCACCUAAUUGCUUCUGAAAAUCCCAUUAGGGACUUUAAAAAUGUGGCCCAGUGUCUUCGUGUUUCUGAACCUCUUUCUCUGUGAUGGCAAGAGACUUCAUGGCCUGACAGUUGCUAUUCAGGCCAAGCAAAUGUCAUUUUAAAAUGUUGAAUACAUGUUUCAAAACACUCUUAACAUUGAUUUUCUGUACCUCUGUUUGAAAACUGAGGCCCUUUUAAUAAGUCUUCCUGUCUGUCUUUUCUAGCUCCAAGCUGGGCUAUUAAUUAUACCCCAGACUGUACAGGAACCUACUUAAUUUUACACAUGCAUAUAGAAUCAAGUCUGAAAGUGUGGGAGAAUUUAAUUGCAUUAUACAACCGGUGGUGGCUGGGGGUCUUCUUGCACGUUUUCCAUUGGCUUCAACAAGUCCAAGGUGGACCCAAUGAGGCAUACAUGACUUUUGCAUUUGAGUCCAGUUUCACAGUGAUGUGUUAACAGACAUCUGUGUGCACAGUGCACUUCCUUGCCUCUUGCAACUUAUAACAGGGCAGUCCCCUUUAAGGGGAAGCAGACAGCCCCCUUGUAGCAGCCCAGGUGCCAGCAGUUAGCUAAGGAGGGGGUCUUCCAGCAGCGGUUAAACCCAGACGAGAGAGCAGUGAGGACACGCUUGGGAGAAGGAUUGGUUUGCAGCCAGGAGUUAGAGGGGAACCCAGAUUAGCUCUGGUCCCUUUCUGCUAGUGAGCUUAAGGGCCUUUCCUAUUGUCUGGAGAAGGGCUAUAUGUUUUGUACAAAUAAAGGAGCAAACAAGGACUGUGCUUGUGUUCA
RNAcentral lists this long non-coding RNA (1631 nucleotides) under Crocodylus porosus (Australian saltwater crocodile). RNAcentral's name for it is "lncRNA (ENSCPRG00005016697.1)". Lineage: Eukaryota; Metazoa; Chordata; Crocodylia; Crocodylidae. The record is from RNAcentral.